This 903-nucleotide ribosomal RNA is filed under the name uncultured bacterium. Its description in RNAcentral is "bacterial SSU rRNA". It matches the Rfam family "Bacterial small subunit ribosomal RNA", at positions 8 to 916 of the family's 1533-position model. The record is from RNAcentral.
AGAGUUUGAUCCUGGCUCAGGACGAACGCUGGCGGCGUGCCUAAUGCAUGCAAGUCGAGCGGGCUACGAUCUUCGGAUUGUAGCUUAGCGGCGAACGGGUGAGUAACACGUAGGUAAUCUACCCUUCAGAGGAGGACAACCUCAGGAAACUGAGGCUAAACCUUCAUACGUUCACUGGUAGGGAUACUGGUGAAGAAAGAGUUACCUUAGUGGUAGCUGCUGAAGGGUGAGCCUGCGGCCCAUCAGGUAGUUGGUGAGGUAACGGCUCACCAAGCCGAAGACGGGUAACCGGUCUGAGAGGAUGUCCGGUCACACUGGGACUGAGACACGGCCCAGACUCCUACGGGAGGCAGCAGCAGGGAAUCUUGGGCAAUGGGCGAAAGCCUGACCCAGCGACGCCGCGUGGAGGAAGAAGUCCUUCGGGGCGUAAACUCCUGGACUGGGGGACGAGGAAGGACGGUACCCCAGUAGAAAGGGACGGCUAACUACGUGCCAGCAGCCGUGGUAAAACGUAGGUCCCGAGCGUUGUUCGGAUUCACUGGGUGUAAAGGGCGCGUAGGUGGUUGUCUGUGUCUCAUGUGAAAACUCAGGGCUCAACUCUGAGAUUGCGUGGGAAACUAGGCAGCUAGAGGACGGUAGAGGGGAGUGGAAUUCCCGGUGUAGCGGUAAAAUGCGUAGAUAUCGGGAGGAACACCGGUGGCGAAGGCGGCUCUCUGGGCCGAUCCUGACGCUGAGGCGCGAAAGCUAGGGGAGCGAACCGGAUUAGAUACCCGGGUAGUCCUAGCCGUAAACGAUGGGUGCUAGGUGUUGGGGGGGUAAAGACCCUUCAGUGCCGAAGCCAACGCGAUAAGCAUCCCACCUGGGGAGUACGGCCGCAAGGUUGAAACUUAAAUGAAUUGACGG